ACAGGUUUUAUGCCAGGCCUGGAAACACAAUAUAAAUGUUUAUUAUUUUGGGCUGAUAGUCCCUUACAUGGGGACCACAUAUUAAGUUGAUUUUUGGGACAGGGAACUGGAUUAGGGGCUUGCUCCGUCCACUCCAAGCAUCAACCUGGUAUUGCAGUACAUCUGGGAAUGGUGCAUCCACU
Small nuclear RNA from Xiphophorus couchianus (Monterrey platyfish), 182 nucleotides. RefSeq annotates it as U2 spliceosomal RNA. The record is from RefSeq and is a predicted model, not a curated record. Lineage: Eukaryota; Metazoa; Chordata; Actinopteri; Cyprinodontiformes; Poeciliidae. The transcript has a single exon.